RNAcentral lists this ribosomal RNA (253 nucleotides) under uncultured bacterium. Its description in RNAcentral is "partial 16S ribosomal RNA". It matches the Rfam family "Bacterial small subunit ribosomal RNA", at positions 524 to 776 of the family's 1533-position model. The record is from RNAcentral.
UACAGAGGCCUCGAGCGUUAGGCGGAAUCACUGGGCUUAAAGCGUGUGUAGGCGGACUUCUAAGUACCUUGUGAAAUCCCACGGCUCACCCGUGGAACUGCUUGGUAUACUGGUCGUCUUGAGCCUUCUAGGGGCGAGUGGAACAAAUGGUGGAGCGGUGAAAUGCGUAGAUAUCGGAAGGAACAUCAGUGGCGAAAGCGACUUCCUGGACCAAUACUGACGCUCAUGUGCGAAAGCGUGGGGAGCAAACAGG